GCACAAGCGGUGGAUGAUGUGGAUUAAUUCGAUGCAACGACGAAAACCUUACCUACCUUGACAUGUCCGGAAUCCCGAAGAGAUUUGGGAGUGCUCGCAAGAGAGCCGGAACAUAGGUGCUGCAUGGCUGUCGUCAGCUCGUGUCGUGAGAUGUUGGGUUAAGUCCCGCAACGAGCGCAACCCUUGUCAUUAGUUGCCAUCAUUUGGUUGGGCACUCUAAUGAGACUGCCGGUGACAAACCGGAGGAAGGUGGGGAUGACGUCAAGUCCUCAUGGCCCUUAUGGGUAGGGCUUCACACGUCAUACAAUGGUCGGUACAGAGGGUUGCCAACCCGCGAGGGGGAGCUAAUCCCACAAAGCCGAUCGUAGUCCGGAUCGCAGUCUGCAACUCGACUGCGUGAAGUCGGAAUCGCUAGUAAUCGUGGAUCAGCAUGCCACGGUGAAUACGUUCCCGGGUCUU
RNAcentral lists this ribosomal RNA (459 nucleotides) under uncultured Rhodocyclaceae bacterium. Its description in RNAcentral is "bacterial SSU rRNA". It matches the Rfam family "Bacterial small subunit ribosomal RNA", at positions 923 to 1382 of the family's 1533-position model. The record is from RNAcentral. Lineage: Bacteria; Pseudomonadati; Pseudomonadota; Betaproteobacteria; Rhodocyclales; Rhodocyclaceae.